GAUGAACGCUGGCGGCGUGCCUAAUACAUGCAAGUCGAACGCUUUGUGGUUCAACUGAUUUGAAGAGCUUGCUCAGAUAUGACGAUGGACAUUGCAAAGAGUGGCGAACGGGUGAGUAACACGUGGGAAACCUACCUCUUAGCAGGGGAUAACAUUUGGAAACAGAUGCUAAUACCGUAUAACAAUAGCAACCGCAUGGUUGCUACUUAAAAGAUGGUUCUGCUAUCACUAAGAGAUGGUCCCGCGGUGCAUUAGUUAGUUGGUGAGGUAAUGGCUCACCAAGACGAUGAUGCAUAGCCGAGUUGAGAGACUGAUCGGCCACAAUGGGACUGAGACACGGCCCAUACUCCUACGGGAGGCAGCAGUAGGGAAUCUUCCACAAUGGGCGAAAGCCUGAUGGAGCAACGCCGCGUGUGUGAUGAAGGGUUUCGGCUCGUAAAACACUGUUGUAAGAGAAGAAUGACAUUGAGAGUAACUGUUCAAUGUGUGACGGUAUCUUACCAGAAAGGAACGGCUAAAUACGUGCCAGCAGCCGCGGUAAUACGUAUGUUCCAAGCGUUAUCCGGAUUUAUUGGGCGUAAAGCGAGCGCAGACGGUUAUUUAGUCUGAAGUGAAAAGCCCUCACUCAACUGACGAAUUGCUUUGGAAACUGGAUGACUUGAGUGCAGUAGAGGAAAGUGGAACUCCCUGUGUAGCGGUGAAAUGCGAAGAUAUUUGGAAAAAACACCAAUGGGCGAAGCGGGUUUCUGGACUGUAACUGACGUUGAGGCUCGAAAGUGUGGGUAGCAAACAGGAUUAGAUACCCUGGUAGUCCACACCGUAAACGAUGAGUGCUAGGUGUUUGAGGGUUUCCGCCCUUAAGUGCCGCAGCUAACGCAUUAAGCACUCCGCCUGGGGAGUACGACCGCAAGGUUGAAACUCAAAGGAAUUGACGGGGACCCGCACAAGCGGUGGAGCAUGUGGUUUAAUUCGAAGCAACGCGAAGAACCUUACCAGGUCUUGACAUCCCUUGACAACUCCAGAGAUGGAGCGUUCCCUUCGGGGACAAGGUGACAGGUGGUGCAUGGUUGUCCGCAACCCUUAUUUUUAGUUACCACCAUUCAGUUGGGCACUCUAGUGAGACUGCCGGUGACAAACCGGAGGAAGGUGGGGAUGACGUCAAAUCAUCAUGCCCCUUAUGACCUGGGCUACACACGUGCUACAAUGGCGUAUACAACGAGUUGCCAACCCGCGAGGGUGAGCUAAUCUCUUAAAGUACGUCUCAGUUCGGAUUGUAGGCUGCAACUCGCCUACAUGAAGUCGGAAUCGCUAGUAAUCGCGGAUCAGCACGCCGCGGUGAAUACGUUCCCGGGUCUUGUACACACCGCCCGUCACACCAUGAGAGUUUGUAACA
RNAcentral lists this ribosomal RNA (1393 nucleotides) under Weissella cibaria. RNAcentral describes it as "bacterial SSU rRNA". It matches the Rfam family "Bacterial small subunit ribosomal RNA". Lineage: Bacteria; Bacillati; Bacillota; Bacilli; Lactobacillales; Lactobacillaceae. The record is from RNAcentral.